Molecule: ribosomal RNA, 484 nt
Filed under: uncultured bacterium
Lineage: Bacteria
Description: partial 16S ribosomal RNA
Rfam family: Bacterial small subunit ribosomal RNA
Source: RNAcentral
AUUGAACGCUAGCGGGAUGCUUUACACAUGCAAGUCGAACGGCAGCGCGGACUUCGGUCUGGCGGCGAGUGGCGAACGGGUGAGUAAUGUAUCGGAACGUGCCCAGUAGCGGGGGAUAACUACGCGAAAGCGUAGCUAAUACCGCAUACGCCCUACGGGGGAAAGCAGGGGAUCGUAAGACCUUGCACUAUUGGAGCGGCCGAUAUCGGAUUAGCUAGUUGGUGAGGUAACGGCUCACAAAGGCGACGAUCCGUAGCUGGUUUGAGAGGACGACCAGCCACACUGGGACUGAGACACGGCCCAGACUCCUACGGGAGGCAGCAGUGGGGAAUUUUGGACAAUGGGGGCAACCCUGAUCCAGCCAUCCCGCGUGUGCGAUGAAGGCCUUCGGGUUGUAAAGCACUUUUGGCAGGAAAGAAACGUCGCGGGCUAAUACCCCGUGGAACUGACGGUACCUGCAGAAUAAGCACCGGCUAACUACGUG